RNAcentral lists this ribosomal RNA (253 nucleotides) under uncultured Staphylococcus sp. RNAcentral describes it as "partial 16S ribosomal RNA". It matches the Rfam family "Bacterial small subunit ribosomal RNA", at positions 109 to 356 of the family's 1533-position model. Lineage: Bacteria; Bacillati; Bacillota; Bacilli; Caryophanales; Staphylococcaceae. The record is from RNAcentral.
AGUAACACGUGGAUGACCUACCUAUAAGACUGGGAUAACUUCGGGAAACCGGAGCUAAUACCGGAUAAUAUUUUGAACCGCAUGGUUCAAAAGUGAAAGACGGUCUUGCUGUCACUUAUAGAUGGAUCCGCGCUGCAUUAGCUAGUUGGUAAGGUAACGGCUUACCAAGGCAACGAUGCAUAGCCGACCUGAGAGGGUGAUCGGCCACACUGGAACUGAGACACGGUCCAGACUCCUACGGGAGGCAGCAGCG